Molecule: ribosomal RNA, 253 nt
Filed under: uncultured bacterium
Lineage: Bacteria
Description: partial 16S ribosomal RNA
Rfam family: Bacterial small subunit ribosomal RNA
Source: RNAcentral
UACGAAGGGGGCUAGCGUUGUUCGGAAUUACUGGGCGUAAAGCGCGUGUAGGCGGCCUGCUAAGUCUGAUGUGAAAGCCCGGGGCUCACCCCCGGAAGUGCAUUGGAAACUGGUAGGCUCGAGUCCCGGAGAGGAGGGUGGAAUUCCUGGUGUAGCGGUGAAAUGCGUAGAUAUCAGGAAGAACACCGGUGGCGAAGGCGGCCCUCUGGACGGAUACUGACGCUGAGACGCGAAAGCGUGGGGAGCAAACAGG